GACGAACGCUGGCGGCGUGGAUUAGGCAUGCAAGUCGGACGGUAGGGCUUUAUCGUAAGAUAGAGUUUGAGAGUGGCGAAUGGGUGAGUAACACGUAGGAAUCUACCCUUAAGACGGGGACAACCCAGGGAAACUUGGGCUAAUACCGGAUGAGAGUGCGAGAGAUUGCAUUUAAAAGGAUGGCGAAAGUUAUCGCUUAGGGAUGAGCCUGCGGUCUAUUAGUUAGUUGGUGGGGUAAGAGCUCACCAAGGCGAUGAUAGAUAGGCGGCCUUAACGGGUGGUCGCCCACACUGGGAUUGAGAUACGGCCCAGACUCCUACGGGAGGCAGCAGUCGAGAAUAGUCUACAAUGGCCGGAAGGCUGAUAGUGCGACGCCGCGUGAACGAGGGAGCCCUUCGGGGUGUAAAGUUCUUUUAUAUGUGAGCAGUGCUUCUUAUAUUAACAGUAUGGGGAAGAGAUAUUAGCAUAUGAAUAAGCAACGGCUAACUCCGUGCCAGCA
Molecule: ribosomal RNA, 499 nt
Filed under: uncultured bacterium
Lineage: Bacteria
Description: bacterial SSU rRNA
Rfam family: Bacterial small subunit ribosomal RNA
Source: RNAcentral